UGCGCGGUCGCGUGCACUAUUCAUCCGCCCAAUGAGCUCUGCUCUGCAUCCAGGCGUGGAAAAUGGAGGCCGGCUUGUGGACUCCCUUUUCCUCCGCGUUCUCUCUCUCCCCCGCACUCCAACGCUGCUUUCCAAAUAGUUCGUCUUCUUCAAGCACGAGCGUCGCCUCUAGUUCCUGUCUGUGGCUCCGGCCGUGUUGUUGUCCAUGUGAUGGAAGCCUGACCAGAGUGUAAACCUCAUCGGGCUAGAGAGAGAUUCCCGGGAAGCGCAUGAUGCUCAUCGUCGACGAUUGGUCGCUCAAGUCACCGCUAAGAGGGAAGAAGUUAUUCAAGCUUAGGAUACAUCCACCACAACAGAUGAAGCCACAGAUGAAGGUGCGAGCAGUGAAGGUGCGAGCCGAAGUUGGUAACUUCGACAAUGGAGAAAAGCUUCGAGCGCAAGCCAGCGAAGGAGAAGAAGUCAAAACUUGCGCAGCAAAAAAGAAAGGGAAAAGACGACAAUGUCCCUGUAUCAUUUGUAAAUCAUGUGUGUAAACCCCAUGGACAUGUAUGUAAUUUUCUACGAUGCCAUUCAACUUUCUUAUAUAUAGGUGAACAGUGCCCUACUUAGGCGGACCUUUUUGAAGGGCCUUAGCUUCAUUUUGCUUAGCAUCCAAAACACCUUUGUAUUAUUUUGUGCCAAAAAGCCCAAGGUAUGUGUACAUUUGUUUAACAUGAAUGAAAAUGAAAUAAAAAUGAUAAGGCAUUCAAGAUGA
This is a long non-coding RNA of Zea mays, 754 nucleotides long. RefSeq lists it as uncharacterized. NCBI's taxonomy places the organism in Eukaryota, Viridiplantae, Streptophyta, Magnoliopsida, Poales, Poaceae. The transcript is spliced from 2 exons. The record is from RefSeq and is a predicted model, not a curated record.